UCUGGAGACAGGUGCUGCAUGGCUGUCGUCAGCUCGUGUCGUGAGAUGUUGGGUUAAGUCCCGCAACGAGCGCAACCCUUGCCUUUAGUUGCCAGCAGUUCGGCUGGGCACUCUAAAGGGACUGCCGGUGUUAAACCGGAGGAAGGUGGGGAUGACGUCAAGUCCUCAUGGCCUUUAUGACCAGGGCUACACACGUACUACAAUGGCCGAUACAAAGGGCAGCGACACUGCGAGGUGAAGCCAAUCCCGUAAAAUCGGUCUCAGUCCGGAUUGGAGUCUGCAACUCGACUCCAUGAGGUUGGAAUCGCUAGUAAUCGUGGAUCAGCAUGCCACGGUGAAUACGUUCCCGGGCCUU
This 355-nucleotide ribosomal RNA is filed under the name uncultured Desulfobulbus sp. RNAcentral describes it as "bacterial SSU rRNA". It matches the Rfam family "Bacterial small subunit ribosomal RNA", at positions 1027 to 1382 of the family's 1533-position model. The record is from RNAcentral. Lineage: Bacteria; Pseudomonadati; Thermodesulfobacteriota; Desulfobulbia; Desulfobulbales; Desulfobulbaceae.